AGUGAACGCUGGCGGUAGGCCUAACACAUGCAAGUCGAACGGCAGCACAGUAAGAGCUUGCUCUUACGGGUGGCGAGUGGCGGACGGGUGAGGAAUACAUCGGAAUCUAUUUUUUCGUGGGGGAUAACGUAGGGAAACUUACGCUAAUACCGCAUACGACCUACGGGUGAAAGCAGGGGAUCUUCGGACCUUGCGCGAUUGAAUGAGCCGAUGUCGGAUUAGCUAGUUGGCGGGGUAAAGGCCCACCAAGGCGACGAUCCGUAGCUGGUCUGAGAGGAUGAUCAGCCACACUGGAACUGAGACACGGUCCAGACUCCUACGGGAGGCAGCAGUGGGGAAUAUUGGGCAAUGGGCGCAAGCCUGAUCCAGCCAUACCGCGUGGGUGAAGAAGGCCUUCGGGUUGUAAAGCCCUUUUGUUGGGAAAGAAAAGCAGCAGGUUAAUACCCCGCUGUUCUGACGGUACCCAAAGAAUAAGCACCGGCUAACUUCGUG
This 492-nucleotide ribosomal RNA is filed under the name uncultured bacterium. RNAcentral's name for it is "partial 16S ribosomal RNA". It matches the Rfam family "Bacterial small subunit ribosomal RNA", at positions 29 to 507 of the family's 1533-position model. The record is from RNAcentral.